CAGUAGCGUAUAUACACGUUGUUGCAGUUAAAAAGCUCGUAGUUGGAUUUCUGGUUUGGAGUGCCUGGCCCGCCACAUCAAGUGUGCGAGUGCCGGAGCGUUCUAGCCAUCCUUCUAGAAAGCGUCUGCCCUUCACUGGGUUGGACUGCGAUCUAGAUCUUUUACUUUGAACAAAACGAAGCGCUCAAAGCAGGCCACUGCCUUGAACGAUUUAGCAUGGAAUAAUAAUCUAGGACUCCGGUUCUAUUUUGUUGGUUUCUAGGACUGAAGUAAUGAUUGAUAGGGACAGUUGGGGGUGCUAGUAUUCAGUGGCCAGAGGUGAAAUUCCUGGACUCGCUGAAGACUGACCGAUGCGAAAGCGUUCACCAAAGAUGUCUCCUUUAA
RNAcentral lists this ribosomal RNA (384 nucleotides) under uncultured eukaryote. RNAcentral describes it as "partial 18S ribosomal RNA". It matches the Rfam family "Eukaryotic small subunit ribosomal RNA", at positions 592 to 976 of the family's 1831-position model. The record is from RNAcentral.